Molecule: ribosomal RNA, 497 nt
Filed under: uncultured bacterium
Lineage: Bacteria
Description: partial 16S ribosomal RNA
Rfam family: Bacterial small subunit ribosomal RNA
Source: RNAcentral
GACGAACGCUGGCGGCGUGCCUAAUACAUGCAAGUCGAACGAGAGCGACCGGUGCUUGCACUGGUCAAUCUAGUGGCGAACGGGUGAGUAACACGUGGGUAACCUGCCCAUCAGAGGGGGAUAACAUCCGGAAACGGAUGCUAAAACCGCAUAGGUCUUCGAACCGCAUGGUUUGAAGAGGAAAAGAGGCGCAAGCUUCUGCUGAUGGAUGGACCCGCGGUGCAUUAGCUAGUUGGUGAGGUAACGGCUCACCAAGGCCGUGAUGCAUAGCCGACCUGAGAGGGUGAUCGGCCACAUUGGGACUGAGACACGGCCCAAACUCCUACGGGAGGCAGCAGUAGGGAAUCUUCCGCAAUGGACGCAAGUCUGACGGAGCAACGCCGCGUGAGUGAAGAAGGUUUUCGGAUCGUAAAACUCUGUUGUUAGAGAAGAACAAGUGCUAGAGUAACUGUUAGCGCCUUGACGGUAUCGAACCAGAAAGCCACGGCUAACUACGU